RNAcentral lists this ribosomal RNA (473 nucleotides) under uncultured organism. RNAcentral describes it as "partial 16S ribosomal RNA". It matches the Rfam family "Bacterial small subunit ribosomal RNA", at positions 330 to 799 of the family's 1533-position model. The record is from RNAcentral.
CGUACACUCCUGCGGGAGGCAGCAGUGAGGAAUAUUGGACAAUGGGUGGAAGCCUGAUCCAGCCAUCCCGCGUGCAGGAAGACGGCCCUAUGGGUUGUAAACUGCUUUUAUCUGGGGAUAAACCUACUUACGUGUAAGUAGCUGAAGGUACCAGAAGAAUAAGCACCGGCUAACUCCGUGCCAGCAGCCGCGGUAAUACGGAGGGUGCAAGCGUUAUCCGGAUUUAUUGGGUUUAAAGGGUCCGUAGGCGGACUGAUAAGUCAGUGGUGAAAUCCGACAGCUUAACUGUCGAACUGCCAUUGAUACUGUUAGUCUGGAGUAAGGUUGAAGUGGCUGGAAUAAGUAGUGUAGCGGUGAAAUGCAUAGAUAUUACUUAGAACACCAAUUGCGAAGGCAGGUCACUAAGUCUUAACUGACGCUGAUGGACGAAAGCGUGGGGAGCGAACAGGAUUAGAAACCCGAGUAGUCCCAUG